This 66-nucleotide transfer RNA is filed under the name Palaemon capensis. Its description in RNAcentral is "tRNA-Leu". The record is from RNAcentral. Lineage: Eukaryota; Metazoa; Arthropoda; Malacostraca; Decapoda; Palaemonidae.
AUCACUUUGGCAGAUUAGUGCGCCGGAUUUAGGAUUCGAAUAAAUAGUGUAACACUAUAGGUGGUA